RNAcentral lists this ribosomal RNA (816 nucleotides) under Sphaeroforma tapetis. Its description in RNAcentral is "eukaryotic LSU rRNA". The stretch from base 331 to 484 matches the Rfam family "5.8S ribosomal RNA". The record is from RNAcentral. Lineage: Eukaryota; Ichthyosporea; Ichthyophonida.
UCGUAACAAGGUUUCCGUAGGUGAACCUGCGGAAGGAUCAUUACCAAACGAUUCUUUGGAUUCAGUUAGUAGCUUUUUGAUGCGGCGCAAGCCAAAUYGAGAAGUAGUUGGUUGACCGUAAUUAGGAGAAAUCCUUCCAGCUGCACUGAUUGGAUUYAGAGUUUAAUCAACCCCCUGUGAACUAUAAACCCGUACUGUUAUUGUCUUUUGGGUGGUACUGAAGCUGUUUACAGUCGAUGUGCUGCCCAGAAGCGAUAGCGCUUUAUUGAACUACUAAACGAAUUAUAUCUAUACGCAAAAUCUCUUUAUUAUUUAAUAAUAAUAAUUGACAACUUUUAACAGUGGAUCUCUAGGCUCGUGGAUCGAUGAAGAGCGCAGCAAAAUGCGAUACGUAAUGUGAAUUGCAGAAUUCAGUGAAUCAUCGAAUCCUUGAACGCAAAUUGCGGUGUUGGGUAUUCCCGGCACCAUGCUUGGUUGAGUGUCACUUAAUCUAACAAAAUUCAAUUUAUUUUGGGUAUUGUUACAGAUGAGGUUACGAGGCGUCUAUUUAAUAGAACUUCGAACCUUUAAUGACUAGCAAGACGCAUGACUUUUGAAGUUCAUUGCAGCUACUUGUGUGGCAAUAUUGUUUCGACAAUUUAAAGCGCAUGUUGGCUCAGUGGAYGUUAAUUCUUAAAUYAUUGCUGUUCUUACAAAUCUGACUCUAUAUGUCUCCGGACUUAGAAUUUUGACCUCAGCUCAAGCAAGACUACCCGCUGAAUUUAAGCAUAUUAAUAAGCGGAGGAAAAGAAACUAACUAGGAUUCCCUCAGUAACG